UCCCCCGUGAGGGGGCAGUCUCGCCAGACACUUGUAACUGGCAACGAAGGUUGCGUUCGUUACCCCACUGAAGGGAACGAUUCAAACCACGAACUGACGACAGCCAUGCAUCACCUGUCCUACACCCUCGAAGGCUUCCUCGGUUUCCCGAGGCGUGCAGUAGGAUUUCUAGCCCUGGUAAGGUUCUUCGCUUAGCGACGAAUUGAGCCACACGCUCCACCGCUUGUGCAAGCUCCCGUCUAUUCCUUUGAGUUUUAGCCUUGCGGCCGUACUCCCCAGGCGGGGUGCUUAAUGCGUUAGCUUCGGCACGGACGGAGUUGACACCGCCCACACCUAGCACCCAUCGUUUACGGCGUGGACUAC
RNAcentral lists this unclassified non-coding RNA (363 nucleotides) under uncultured bacterium. RNAcentral describes it as "contains 16S-23S intergenic spacer region". The record is from RNAcentral.